AAAAUGACUCUCGGCAACGGAUAUCUCGGCUCUUGCAUCGAUGAAGAACGUAGCGAAAUGCGAUACUUGGUGUGAAUUGCAGAAUCCCGUGAACCAUCGAGUCUUUGAACGCAAGUUGCGCCCAAAGCCAUUAGGCCGAGGGCACGCCUGCCUGGGUGUCACAC
This 164-nucleotide ribosomal RNA is filed under the name Vigna trilobata. RNAcentral describes it as "partial 5.8S ribosomal RNA". It matches the Rfam family "5.8S ribosomal RNA". Rfam says of the family: 5.8S ribosomal RNA (5.8S rRNA) is a component of the large subunit of the eukaryotic ribosome. The record is from RNAcentral. Lineage: Eukaryota; Viridiplantae; Streptophyta; Magnoliopsida; Fabales; Fabaceae. RNAcentral also lists the same sequence under 2 other names.